GUGAAUCAUCGAAUCUUUGAACGCACAUUGCGCCCUGUGGUAUUCCGCAGGGCAUGCCUGUUCGAGCGUCAUAAUAACCAAUCUAGCUCUGCUAGGUGUUGGGCACCGCCAGCGCGCGGGUCUGAAAACCCCACAGCAGCGCUACCGAGCCUGAGCGUAGUAAUUCUCUCGCUAAAGGACCGGCAGACGCACGCUGAAUAAACCACAUCUAAGGUUGACCUCGGAUCAGGUAGGGAUACCCGCUGAACUUAAGCAUAUCAAUAAGCGGAGGA
Molecule: unclassified non-coding RNA, 272 nt
Filed under: Xenopolyscytalum sp.
Lineage: Eukaryota; Fungi; Ascomycota; Leotiomycetes; Helotiales; Hamatocanthoscyphaceae
Description: partial contains 5.8S ribosomal RNA, internal transcribed spacer 2, and large subunit ribosomal RNA
Rfam family: 5.8S ribosomal RNA (bases 1-71)
Source: RNAcentral